UUUACUCAUAGUUUUUACUAGUUUUGCAAAUUAUAUGGGUAUGUCUUUAAAGGUAAGAUAAAAAGAAUUUAAUUGAGGAAUUGAUUUUAAAUAUCCUAUACAAGCAACUUUGCAUUAUGUUUACACUUCUAAAUAUAAAUGAUUGUGUGACUCAUAAAAUGCUCCAAUAGGUUUUAAUAAAUUUAUUAUCAAUCGAUUGUUAGAUUUUAGCUUUCAUAUUGUUCAAGUUUGAUGAAGUACCUGCUUUCUUGGUUGCCAAAGUCUUUGCCAAACCAAUAACAAGUCAAUAUCUGAAGUAAUGUUAUGGCUGCUAUUGAUCAAAGACUAUCAUCCAUCAGAUCUCUUUCAACUACCCAGC
Molecule: long non-coding RNA, 358 nt
Filed under: Elaeis guineensis (African oil palm)
Lineage: Eukaryota; Viridiplantae; Streptophyta; Magnoliopsida; Arecales; Arecaceae
Description: long non-coding RNA (EGUI_LNC004744)
Source: RNAcentral